This 467-nucleotide ribosomal RNA is filed under the name uncultured bacterium. Its description in RNAcentral is "partial 16S ribosomal RNA". It matches the Rfam family "Bacterial small subunit ribosomal RNA", at positions 28 to 506 of the family's 1533-position model. The record is from RNAcentral.
GACGAACGCUGGCGGCGUGCUUAACACAUGCAAGUCGAACGGAAAGGCCCUGCUUUUGUGGGGUGCUCGAGUGGCGAACGGGUGAGUAACACGUGAGUAACCUGCCCUUGACUUUGGGAUAACUUCAGGAAACUGGGGCUAAUACCGGAUAGGAGCUCCUGCUGCAUGGUGGGGGUUGGAAAGUUUCGGCGGUUGGGGAUGGACUCGCGGCUUAUCAGCUUGUUGGUGGGGUAGUGGCUUACCAAGGCUUUGACGGGUAGCCGGCCUGAGAGGGUGACCGGCCACAUUGGGACUGGGAUACGGCCCAGACUCCUACGGGAGGCAGGGGUGGAGAAUAGUGCACGAAGGGCGGAAGGCUGAUGCAGGAACGCCGCGUGCGGGAUGACGGCCUUCGGGUUGUAAACCGCUUGCGCCUGUGACGGAGCGUGAGUGACGGUAAUGGGUAAAGAAGCACCGGCUAACUACGU